GAGGGGAUAGCUCAGUGGUAGAGCAUGUGCUUAAUAUGCAGGAGGUUCUGGGUUCAAUCCCUAGUACCUCCA
RNAcentral lists this transfer RNA (72 nucleotides) under Camelus bactrianus (Bactrian camel). It matches the Rfam family "tRNA". Rfam says of the family: Transfer RNA (tRNA) molecules are approximately 80 nucleotides in length. Their secondary structure includes four short double-helical elements and three loops (D, anti-codon, and T loops). The record is from Rfam by way of RNAcentral. RNAcentral also lists the same sequence under 3 other names. Lineage: Eukaryota; Metazoa; Chordata; Mammalia; Artiodactyla; Camelidae.